CUUCACCGAGCCGAGCAGCAGCGGGCGUUCGGGGUCACGAUCCUGACCGUAGGCGGCCAGCAGCGCCUGGGCCUC
Streptomyces sp. WM6378 is the source of this 75-nucleotide non-coding RNA. Lineage: Bacteria; Bacillati; Actinomycetota; Actinomycetes; Kitasatosporales; Streptomycetaceae. The record is from Rfam.